UUUAAAGAAACACUCCGAGCCGCAGCGUUCUAACCGCCAGACGUAUGAAACUUCGGCCUCAGCAUUGUGCUGACAGGGUAAACGGGGAAACCGGUUUGCCUCCCUUGUAUUUUGGAAAGGUGUGUCUAUGUUACAGGA
Molecule: non-coding RNA, 138 nt
Filed under: Gynuella sunshinyii
Lineage: Bacteria; Pseudomonadati; Pseudomonadota; Gammaproteobacteria; Oceanospirillales; Saccharospirillaceae
Also listed under: 1 other name
Description: MoCo sequence
Rfam family: Molybdenum/Tungsten riboswitch aptamer (Moco RNA motif)
Source: RNAcentral